RNAcentral lists this ribosomal RNA (630 nucleotides) under Aspergillus fumigatus. RNAcentral's name for it is "LSU rRNA". The stretch from base 1 to 562 matches the Rfam family "Eukaryotic large subunit ribosomal RNA", at positions 87 to 664 of the family's 3401-position model. The record is from RNAcentral. Lineage: Eukaryota; Fungi; Ascomycota; Eurotiomycetes; Eurotiales; Aspergillaceae.
CGGCGAGUGAAGCGGCAAGAGCUCAAAUUUGAAAGCUGGCCCCUUCGGGGUCCGCGUUGUAAUUUGCAGAGGAUGCUUCGGGUGCAGCCCCCGUCUAAGUGCCCUGGAACGGGCCGUCAUAGAGGGUGAGAAUCCCGUCUGGGACGGGGUGUCUGCGUCCGUGUGAAGCUCCUUCGAAGAGUCGAGUUGUUUGGGAAUGCAGCUCUAAAUGGGUGGUAAAUUUCAUCUAAAGCUAAAUACUGGCCGGAGACCGAUAGCGCACAAGUAGAGUGAUCGAAAGAUGAAAAGCACUUUGAAAAGAGAGUUAAACAGCACGUGAAAUUGUUGAAAGGGAAGCGUUUGCGACCAGACUCGCUCGCGGGGUUCAGCCGGCAUUCGUGCCGGUGUACUUCCCCGUGGGCGGGCCAGCGUCGGUUUGGGCGGCCGGUCAAAGGCCCUCGGAAUGUAUCACCUCUCGGGGUUGUCUUAUAGCCGAGGGUGCAAUGCGGCCUGCCCGGACCGAGGAACGCGCUUCGGCUCGGACGCUGGCGUAAUGGUCGUAAAUGACCCGUCUUAAAACCGGAACCAAACGGGGACAGCUUCCGAGGCUAAUCGCGUUUCCUUGGUCCCGGUCAGGCCGCAUUGCACCCU